UCCUUCUACACUGUAAAGAGGUAUACCAACGAUUGGUGGUACGUCUCUCUCCCGAGGGAGGUCUUUGCUUUGAUAAGGGGGGCUUUUUCAGUGCACAAUUGGAAGGAUUGGUUCUUUUUUUUUUGUCUUUGAUCCUGUAGAAGAGUGGAGAUUUCGCCAUUGGGGUCGGUCGAUUCUGCCUUUUGGGUCUCGAAGCUUUGAGAUGAAGA
RNAcentral lists this long non-coding RNA (209 nucleotides) under Elaeis guineensis (African oil palm). RNAcentral's name for it is "long non-coding RNA (EGUI_LNC074364)". Lineage: Eukaryota; Viridiplantae; Streptophyta; Magnoliopsida; Arecales; Arecaceae. The record is from RNAcentral.